Molecule: ribosomal RNA, 492 nt
Filed under: uncultured bacterium
Lineage: Bacteria
Description: partial 16S ribosomal RNA
Rfam family: Bacterial small subunit ribosomal RNA
Source: RNAcentral
AGUGAACGCUGGCGGUAGGCCUAACACAUGCAAGUCGAACGGCAGCACAGUAAUAGCUUGCUCUUACGGGUGGCGAGUGGCGGACGGGUGAGGAAUACAUCGGAAUCUACUUUUUCGUGGGGGAUAACGUAGGGAAACUUACGCUAAUACCGCAUACGACCUACGGGUGAAAGCAGGGGAACUUCGGACCUUGCGCGAUUGAAUGAGCCGAUGUCGGAUUAGCUAGUUGGCGGGGUAAAGGCCCACCAAGGCGAGGAUCCGUAGCUGGUCUGAGAGGAUGAUCGGCCACCCUGGAACUGAGACACGGUCCAGGCUCCUACGGGAGGCAGCAGUGGGGAAUAUUGGACAAUGGGCGCAAGCCUGGUCCAGCCGUACCGCGUGGGUGAAGAAGGCGUUCGGGUUGUAAAGCCGUUUUGUUGGGAAAGAAAAGCAGCAGGUUAAUACCCCGCUGUUCUGACGGUACCCAAAGAAUAAGCACCGGCUAACUUCGUG